UUCAGUCUGAGAUAAAAACAU
Molecule: non-coding RNA, 21 nt
Filed under: Caenorhabditis elegans
Lineage: Eukaryota; Metazoa; Nematoda; Chromadorea; Rhabditida; Rhabditidae
Source: RNAcentral